ACACGCUGGCGGCGUUGCCUAACACAUGCAAGUCGAACGAACGGCGAGAAGCUUGCUUCUCAAAGUUAGUGGCGGACGGGUGAGUAGCGCGUGAGUAACCUGCCUAUCAGAGGGGGAUAACGUCUGGAAACGGACGCUAAUACCGCAUGAUACCACAGGUAUCGCAUGAUACACUGGUCAAAGGAGCAAUCCGCUGAUAGAUGGACUCGCGUCUGAUUAGAUAGUUGGUGAGGUAACGGCUCACAAAGUCGACGAUCGGUAGCCGACCUGAGAGGGUGAUCGGCCACAUUGGGACUGAGACACGGCCCAGACUCCUACGGGAGGCAGCAGUGGGGGAUAUUGCGCAAUGGGGGCAACCCUGACGCAGCAACGCCGCGUGAAGGAUGACGGUCUUCGGAUUGUAAACUUCUUUAAGUGUGGAAGAAAUUGACGGUACACACAGAAUAAGCCACGGCUAACUACGUG
Molecule: ribosomal RNA, 465 nt
Filed under: uncultured bacterium
Lineage: Bacteria
Description: bacterial SSU rRNA
Rfam family: Bacterial small subunit ribosomal RNA
Source: RNAcentral